AUACUAUGCUGAAAGCUCCGGUUUCCGUCUGAUCACAGCAGUUAAGCAACAUCGGGCGCAGUCAGUACUUUGAAGGGUGACCAUCUAGGAAUUUCGAGUGCUGUU
Araneus ventricosus is the source of this 105-nucleotide non-coding RNA. The record is from the annotation of a GenBank genome assembly. Lineage: Eukaryota; Metazoa; Arthropoda; Arachnida; Araneae; Araneidae.